UUACCAUGCAGUCGAACGAUGAACCUCCUUCGGGAGGGGAUUAGUGGCGAACGGGUGAGUAACACGUGGGCAAUCUGCCCUGCACUCUGGGACAAGCCCUGGAAACGGGGUCUAAUACCGGAUACGAGCCCCCUCCGCAUGGUGGGGGUUGGAAAGCUCCGGCGGUGCAGGAUGAGCCCGCGGCCUAUCAGCUUGUUGGUGAGGUAACGGCUCACCAAGGCGACGACGGGUAGCCGGCCUGAGAGGGCGACCGGCCACACUGGGACUGAGACACGGCCCAGACUCCUACGGGAGGCAGCAGUGGGGAAUAUUGCACAAUGGGCGCAAGCCUGAUGCAGCGACGCCGCGUGAGGGAUGACGGCCUUCGGGUUGUAAACCUCUUUCAGCAGGGAAGAAGCGAGAGUGACGGUACCUGCAGAAGAAGCGCCGGCUAACUACGUGCCAGCAGCCGCGGUAAUACGUAGGGCGCAAGCGUUGUCCGGAAUUAUUGGGCGUAAAGAGCUCGUAGGCGGCUUGUCGCGUCGGAUGUGAAAGCCCGGGGCUUAACCCCGGGUCUGCAUUCGAUACGGGCAGGCUAGAGUUCGGUAGGGGAGAUCGGAAUUCCUGGUGUAGCGGUGAAAUGCGCAGAUAUCAGGAGGAACACCGGUGGCGAAGGCGGAUCUCUGGGCCGAUACUGACGCUGAGGAGC
Molecule: ribosomal RNA, 688 nt
Filed under: Streptomyces sp. MU1
Lineage: Bacteria; Bacillati; Actinomycetota; Actinomycetes; Kitasatosporales; Streptomycetaceae
Description: bacterial SSU rRNA
Rfam family: Bacterial small subunit ribosomal RNA
Source: RNAcentral